ACAACAAAAACGCACAAGUAAAACAAACAAAAAACAAAAAUAAAAAUAAAAAAAACCCUCUCGACGCUCAACGGCGAGAACAUUUCAUGUUUUUUUUUCUCUUUUCCUCUU
This 111-nucleotide non-coding RNA is filed under the name Platyophrya macrostoma. Lineage: Eukaryota; Ciliophora; Colpodea; Cyrtolophosidida; Platyophryidae. The record is from RNAcentral.